UUUAAUCGAAGCAACGCGAAGAACCUUUACCAGGUCUUGACAUCCCGAUGCUAUUUCUAGAGAUAGAAAGUUACUUCGGUACAUCGGUGACAGGUGGUGCAUGGUUGUCGUCAGCUCGUGUCGUGAGAUGUUGGGUUAAGUCCCGCAACGAGCGCAACCCCUAUUGUUAGUUGCCAUCAUUCAGUUGGGCACUCUAGCGAGACUGCCGGUAAUAAACCGGAGGAAGUGGGAUGACGUCAAAUCAUCAUGCCCCUUAUGACCUGGGCUACACACGUGCUACAAUGGUUGGUACAACGAGUUGCGAGUCGGUGACGGCGAGCUAAUCUCUUAAAGCCAAUCUCAGUUCGGAUUGUAGGCUGCAACUCGCCUACAUGAAGUCGGAAUCGCUAGUAAUCGCGGAUCAGCACGCCGCGGUCGAAUACGUUCCCGGGCCUU
This 435-nucleotide ribosomal RNA is filed under the name uncultured Streptococcus sp. Its description in RNAcentral is "bacterial SSU rRNA". It matches the Rfam family "Bacterial small subunit ribosomal RNA", at positions 945 to 1382 of the family's 1533-position model. The record is from RNAcentral. Lineage: Bacteria; Bacillati; Bacillota; Bacilli; Lactobacillales; Streptococcaceae.